Molecule: long non-coding RNA, 6146 nt
Filed under: Sus scrofa (pig)
Lineage: Eukaryota; Metazoa; Chordata; Mammalia; Artiodactyla; Suidae
Description: lncRNA (ENSSSCG00000053633.1)
Source: RNAcentral
UGUUCUGCAGCUGGGUGGAUGGUGGAGGGGCCCCUUGGGAAGUGGGUUAGAGCAGGUUGAGGCUAACUGAGAAUUCAUCCUUGGACACAUUAAGCUUGAGAUGGGUCAGGAAGGCUGUUGGAUCCAUGGACCUGAAACUCAGGCCAGACUUGGGAGCUGGGCAGAUGGACUAGUAAGUCAUGGGAUAUAGAGGAGAAUUAGAACCUUGGAGGAUGCCUAGGAGAUAGCAUCCCCGUGAGCAAAGAGAACAAAGGGCAAAGAACUAUCUGCCAGGCCGACUGCCUGGGUUUCAAUUCUGGGACCCUUGCUAACUAGCUGUGACACUUGGGUAAAUUGCUCAGUUUACUCAUCUGUAACAAGGAGGAGCCUGUUGCAUCUACUGCAUUGGCGUUGUGAUGAUUCCAUGAAAUAAGGCACCUGAAGCACUUGGCACAGAGCCUGGCACUUCUGGGUUUGUUAAUUACAAUGGUCUGUCUUUGGACCUGAGGUCUCCCACUAUGUGUGAGUGGUUUGAGCUGUGCCUAAUUCCAUUCUAUUUUCUUUCCUAUCUUUUCUUUUGAGAGAUUUUUAAAAUUGGGUUUAUUCCUUCUCCUUUUGAUUGAGCCCACAUGUCCCAUCUUGGUUGUGGCUGGUGCCCACGUUGAGGCCAUUUUCCAUCAGCCCCAUCUUGGGCUCCAGCAGCCCACAGACCAUACCCCAAGGCCCAGCUCUGCCUCACUAAAGGACAGGCUUUAUAGCUUGCUUUCUUCGCCACAUCAUAAGCAGAACAGGGGCUAUUCUAUUUUGCAGCAGAAAAAGCCAGUGUCCUGAGUGAAUUAAAAAGGAGCUGUACGAGGUCAGCCUGUAACAUCACUCAGAUUGGAUCUCAGGAUUAAUUUUGGUGCGUCUGAUCUUCCAUCUACAGAUUGAUCUCUGCAUACACCAGAGAAGAAGGAUUGAGGCUUCCCACUCUGAGCCGACUCUCUCAUUCUCUGCUGGCUUUGGGAGCCUGCUGGGCUCCAAAGGAAGGGGCGUGCAGUGCCCUGGGAUGUAAUCAUUGAUUUAAUAAUACUCAGGGGGUGGGCUUCCAGCCAUUAGAGGAUGAGACUGUGUGGUGGGGGCCUCUCUGGCCUAUUUAAUCCUCCAAUCCCUUAAAUACCAACAAAUCUGCCUUCUGUCUGGAGCCAACAGCUGCCCCUUGAGUGGAGUGGAGUCCAGGCUGGCAGGGAGGCCAGGACUUUCUGAAUGAACAAAAUUAAAACUCCCCCCACCUGCUUGGAUUAUCAGCCCCCCUCUUUCCUGUCCCAUCGGGACUCUUUAAAAACACCAUCUGCCUUAGCCUUCCUGUUGCAUGGGAAUUGGGAGAUGCCAGGGGAUAGAGCCAAGUUGGCACCAACUCUUGGGCACUGAGGGGUACAAAUUUCCAGGGAACUUGCUUGCAACUCCCUGGGGACAUGGUUUCUGACCACCAGAAGGGCUAAUGGUCUCAGGAAUCUGAGCUGCCAUUUCAGUGACCAGCAACAAAGAAAUUUUCAGCUGGGUAGGUCCUUGGGGAUUAUAGAGCCCAGCGGUUUUGACUUUCAUUUUAGCAGAUGUUUGUGCCUAUGGCAUGCAGAGGUUUCUAGGCCAAGGAUUGAACCUACACCACAGCAGCAACCCAGGCCACAAUAAUGACAGUGCCAGAUCCUUAACCUGCUGAGCCACCAGGUUAUGAGCUCCUUUUUAAUUUACUGCCUAAGAUCCUCAGCUACACCUGUCUUCCAGGUCUUGCCACUUGUUUCCAGCACAAGCAAAUGGCAACUCCAUGCUCCCCCAAACUCCUGGCUUCAGUGCAGGAGUGUCACACACCCCAUGGGUCUCAUCUUUGACCAACAAAAACAGGGGUGCGCAGAUGAAUUCCUUUCUCUUCCUCUUUCUUGGUAGCCUGUCCUAAGGUUCAUAUGGCCUCUUUAAAGAAGGUCCUGCAAGAUCUAGCAUCAGGGUAUAAGCAGCUUUUGGCAGGAAAGAGCUCUCUGCAGGUCGCCCCUUGGUCUUGUCUCUAACCUUAAACCAGGCACCCCUAUGCUCUACUCCUCUGGCCCUGGCACCCCUCUCAGAUCUUUUGAACACACAAUACCUUGCCUAAUCUGUUGGUUCUUUCUGUAGAUCAAAGAAGUAGAAGUGAAGACGAAAUAAUUAACAGAUGGCCAUAUCUCCUCCCUAGCUUCCCCUCCAGUAAUCUCAUGAACAAACUGUGUGAACAAGAUAGUACCAAAAGAAAAAUCACAGGAAGUCCAGAAGCCUGCACAACAAGCCUGCACACGGUGGGGGACAGCAAUGACUCUGACCCCAUCUCAAUGAUUAGCUGAAAUCACUUCCCCUUUUCCCUUUAAAAACUUUCAUGGCUGAGCAGACUCUUCGGAGAUGGUUCCUGGGGGACGAUGAGUCAGUCCACCAUCCCCCCAGAAUGCCAGCAUUCUGAUUCAAAGCAACUUGUCUUUCUACCAGCUUUUGCAAGGGUUGAUUUUUUUCAAGUGGUGAGAAGCCAGACUUGAUUCAGUAACCAGGGGAUGCUUAUGGCAGCCAGCUCAGCAAAGCCCCUGUACCAUCUCCUUCUCUCUCAUCCCACCUUUUCCUCACUUAGCUUCCUGGCACGGUGCUUUCUCAUAGAGUGUUCACAUGUGUGCUUCUGUCUCAAGAUCUGCUUCUUCGGAAACCUGGGCCAAGACAACAUCAAAGAAGGAUACUCGGUGUAGAGAGCAGAUACUCCGCGUGAAGGGAAACGGGGCCCCAGGGACCAUCUCUUUUGCCCCUUACCAUUUCCAAGGUGCUGACCGAGGUGUUCUCCAAAGGCUCCCAAAAGCCUUUCAUCACCUUCAAUUCUGCCAUUCUGCUGCUGGGGAAACUGAAGCUGGAAGUCACACAGUGAGUCAGAAGCAAAGCCAGGACUAGUCUCAUCUUCUCACUCCUAAUCCAGUGAGAUUAAUCCUCAUGUCUCUAUGAAGUUUAUGUAAGAACUUAAGAACUUCUGGAAAUUUUUUCUUUUCCCAAAACAUCAACCUUCCAGGUUGACCCCUGGAAGGCUUCCCCCUGUCCAGCUUUGUUGAGAAAUAACUGACAUAACAUCACUGCACAAGGUUAAGGCAUGCAACAUCUUGAUCUGAUUUACAUAUAGUCUGAAGUGAUUACCUCAAUAGGUUCAGCUAUAUCCAUCAUCUCUCUGGAAGGCUCUGAAAUCCCGUUAGACUGUAGCCACCACCUGGGAGGCCUGAUGCACAGACCUCUGAACUCAGAAGUGGGGACUCAGGAGAGCAGACAAAGAGGAAAUGGGACAGAGACGGGGCAGUUAUGCUGGGAGAAAGGUGGUCAGGAAAGGCCAAAUUUAGGGACCUCUGCAUGUGAGCAACUGGGCUUACGUGGUUUGAAGGCUACACAAGGACAGACCCCAGGGGAGAGAAGACAGGCCUGGGGAAAGGGGGAGGGACUGUGGAAGGAGGUGGAGACUGGCUCCCAACCCUCCCCCAACCCCCUCGGCCAGCUGGGGUCACCUGUAGGACACCCUCCUCCAGGCUGAAAUCAUGCUUAAAGAAGCUGGGAGGGUGACCUCACUGUGGGGAAAAAGACAGAAGGAGGUGUUUGCUUCCAGUUGUUUUCAUAAGAUUCCUGUGGUUGUGACUGCUAGAAACAAGUUGGGGCCAGGUUGAUGACAAAAAGCAUUUUUUUUUUGGUUUUGUUUUUUUAGGACCACACCCAGAACAUAUGGAAGUUCCCAGGCUAGUGGUUCAAUCAGAGCUAUGGCUGCCGGUUUAUGCCAGAGGCACAGCAAUGUGGGAUCCGAGCUGCAGCUGCGUCUGCAACCUACACCACAGCUCACUGCAAUGCCAGAUCCCCGACCCACUGAGAGAGGCCAGGGGUCGAACCCAUGUCCUCAUGGAUGUUAGCCAGGUUUGUAACCUGCUGAACCACAGUGAGAACUCUCAGCCAUUUUAUACUAUAACAAUAGAGGGGCUUCUUAGGGAAAUCUAAGUACAAGGAUGCACUAAAGCUCCUUGGGGAACAGAUAAGAACCAGGGCCUGAACUCAGAGAACCCAGAAAGCCACCUCCCUCCAGCUCUGCUUCUGUUCCAGCCUUUUUUCUCCCUGAAACUGGCUUGCCCUGUGUCCUAGGGAGCACUGGCAGCAAAUGGCCUCAGCUAGCAGCUUCCAAGUUUACUUUGCUUACAUCCAGGAGACAGGCAGAAUGAGCCUGGACUCCUCUGAGCCAAUUCUAAGUUCUCAUGGAGGGACUGAGGCAGGUGCUCACCCCAGGCCAGUCAGUGAGGCCAGAUGCUGUACAGUCACGGCUGCUCCCUCUCUAACCAGACAGGCCAGGGAAGGAGUGGGCAGUUCACUACUUUGGGCCUGUGUUUUUCAAUGAAAGUCCCAUGAGGAGGUUCUGUGCUCUUUCGCACUACCUUAAUGGAAGAGAUCAAUCUUUACUACGUGUGUUACAAAUUCAGACCUUGUCCAGAAGUCUGCCUACCCCAUCAGAGCCCAGCUGAGUUGUUCUCGGCCAGCCCCUCCCCCUCCCACCUGCUUCUGGUGGGGUUGUGGGGGCUGAGAGGGUCCCAGGGCUUGCCACUGCCAUGAUGCCACAUCUUGAGCUCUUACCUGAACAUUAGUUAAGUUUACUUAUGUUUAAUCUUAGACUUUUUUUUUUUUUUUUUUUUUGGUUUGUGGCUGCAGCAUACAGAAAUUCCUGAGCUAGAGAUCAAACCUGCGCCCUAGCAGUGACUGGAGCUGCAGCAUUAACACCAGAUCCUUAACCCAAUGAGCCAUCAGGGAACUUCUUAGACUCAUUUUUAAAGGCAGGUCAGUGGGCCUCAAAUUUCUCCCUUCUAAAGAAUUUCUAAGGACCUGCUUCUGACUGAGCCCAUGAUGGAAAAAACUGAUGCAAGCUUCUAAAUCCAGAACUUACAUGGUGUUUCCUGCUUCAGGAGUUCAGGGGUGCAAAGCCCAGAGAAGAAUUCAGGGUCCUUUUCUUUCACUCUUAACAAUGGACAUUUAUAGCACAGUUGCUGUAUGCUGGGCUCUGCUUUAUGUGUCUGACCUCAUUUGAUUCUCGCACUAGCCCUAAACAGGAAUAACUUUUGUCUUGCUUACAGAGGAGGAAACUCAGGCACAGAGAGGCUGAGUCACUCACUGAACCAGGUAUAGUUAGUCCUCACUGAACCAGGCAGCCAGCCUCUGGGGCUGGUAUAGUCCUCACUGAACCAGGCAGCCAGCCUCUGGGGCCUGCACUCUUUAGAUACCACCAUACGAACUGUCUGACCAGGCAAGCCAUGCAGUUUUCGUGAUGUGGAAGUUCCCAGGCCAGAGAUCAAACCUGUGCCCUAGCAGCGACCUGGGCCGCUGCAGUGACAAUGCCAGAUUCUUAACCUGCUGUGCCACAAGGGAACUUCAGGCCAUGCAGGCUUGCAGGAGGUUUCUCCGUGGCCAUGGUAAGCAAUGAGCGGUAUCUGCUUUUAAAAACUGCUUAGGAAUUGUCAAGCCCGAACUCUGUGUUAUUAGACUUUCAAAUUUAAUCAUCUGUUCAAGAGACCCAAAACCGUCAGAAAAUCUACACUAGUCUUUGGAGGCACAUUCAUAGGCCUGAUCUUUAAAAAGUAGAAAAGUCAUCCCUUCAAGUGGAUAGCCACACUGCAAAAAGCAACGGCUUUGAACAGAGAGGCCUUAAAUAGGAUCUGGCCCCACUGAGGCUGCUUUAGGCCGUGUGAUCUGGGAAAAGUCACCUAAGCUCCCUAGUCCUGGUUUCCUUACCUGUAAAAAUGUGAUGAUCAUAACAACCCCCUUCCAAGGUUACUGGGAAGCUUUACGAUGGUGAUAUAAGCCUGGACAACUCAUGAUCACUGUCCUGGUGGCAAGAAAUGUGUUUCCCUGGGCAGGAAGCACUGGGAAGGCAAUGCUCAAUCCAGAGGGAGCAGGAAGACCAAAGUUCAGGAGUUCCUGCUGUGGCGCAAUGGGAUUGGCAGCGUCUCGGGAUGCAGGUUUGAUCCCCGGCCCAGCAUAGUGGGUUAAGCAUCCAGUGUUGCCACAGCUGUGGCUUAGGUCAUGACUGUGGCUCAGAUAUGAUCCCUGGCUCGGGAACUCCAUAGGUGACAGGUGGCCAAAAAUGAAGGAAGGAAGGAAGGAAAGGAAGGAAGGAAGGG